UACGUAGGGAGCGAGCGUUACUCGGAAUUACUGGGCGUAAAGAGUGCGUAGGCGGUUUCGUAAGUUAAUGAUGAAAUCCCAGGACUUAAUCCUGGAACUGUCAUUAAGACUGCGUUACUGGAGUACAGAAGAGGAUGGUGGAAUUCUUGGUGUAGAGGUGAAAUUCGUAGAUAUCAAGAGGAAUAUCAAUGGCGAAGGCAGCUGUCUGGGAUGUUACUGACGCUGAUGCACGAAAGCGUGGGGAUCAAACAGG
Molecule: ribosomal RNA, 253 nt
Filed under: uncultured bacterium
Lineage: Bacteria
Description: partial 16S ribosomal RNA
Rfam family: Bacterial small subunit ribosomal RNA
Source: RNAcentral